GGAUUAGAUACCCUGGUAGUCCAUGCUGUAAACGAUGUGUGCUAGACGUUGGAAAUUUAUUUUCAGUGUCGCAGCAAAAGCGUUAAGCACACCGCCUGGGGAGUACGACCGCAAGGUUAAAACUCAAAUGAAUUGACGGGGACCCGCACAAGUAGUGGAGCAUGUGGUUUAAUUCGAAGAUACGCGCAGAACCUUACCAACACUUGACAUGUUUGUCGCGACUCUAAGAGAUUAGAGUCUUCGGUUCGGCCGGACAAAACACAGGUGCUGCAUGGCUGUCGUCAGCUCGUGCCG
RNAcentral lists this ribosomal RNA (294 nucleotides) under uncultured bacterium. RNAcentral's name for it is "partial 16S ribosomal RNA". It matches the Rfam family "Bacterial small subunit ribosomal RNA", at positions 775 to 1067 of the family's 1533-position model. The record is from RNAcentral.